This 445-nucleotide ribosomal RNA is filed under the name uncultured bacterium. RNAcentral describes it as "bacterial SSU rRNA". It matches the Rfam family "Bacterial small subunit ribosomal RNA", at positions 335 to 796 of the family's 1533-position model. The record is from RNAcentral.
UGUCCUACGGGGGGCUGCAGUCGGGAAUAUUGCCCAAUGCGCGAAAGCGUGAGGCAGCAACGCCGCGUGCGCGAUGAAGGCCUUCGGGUCGUAAAGCGCUUUUCAGUGGGAUGAGGAAGGACAGUACCACUGGAAUAAGGUACGGCUAACUACGUGCCAGCAGCCGCGGUAAAACGUAGGUACCGAGCGUUAUCCGGAUUUACUGGGCGUAAAGCGUGUUCAGGCGGUCUAGCAAGUCGGGCAUGAAAUCUCUCGGCUCAACCGGGAGGGGUUGUCCGAUACUGCUGGACUGGAGGGCAGCAGAGGGUGGUGGAAUUCCGGGUGUAGUGGUGAAAUGCGUAGAUAUCCGGAGGAACACCAGUGGCGAAGGCGGCCACCUGGGCUGUACCUGACGCUAACACACGAAAGCUAGGGGAGCGAACGGGAUUAGAUACCCUAGUAGUCA